RNAcentral lists this ribosomal RNA (253 nucleotides) under uncultured bacterium. Its description in RNAcentral is "partial 16S ribosomal RNA". It matches the Rfam family "Bacterial small subunit ribosomal RNA", at positions 524 to 776 of the family's 1533-position model. The record is from RNAcentral.
UACGUAGGGGGCUAGCGUUGCUCGGAAUCACUGGGCGUAAAGCGCACGUAGGCGGAUUGCUAAGUCAGGGGUGAAAUCCUGGAGCUCAACUCCAGAACUGCCUUUGAUACUGGCGACCUUGAGUCCGGGAGAGGUGAGUGGAACUGCGAGUGUAGAGGUGAAAUUCGUAGAUAUUCGCAAGAACACCAGUGGCGAAGGCGGCUCACUGGCCCGGUACUGACGCUGAGGUGCGAAAGCGUGGGGAGCAAACAGG